AGAGUUUGAUCCUGGCUCAGGAUGAACGCUAGCGGCAGGCCUAACACAUGCAAGUCGAGGGGUAACUGGGGAGCUUGCUCCCGCAGACGACCGGCGCACGGGUGAGUAACGCGUAUGCAACCUGCCCCGUACAGGAGGAUAGCCCGGGGAAAUUCGGAUUAAUACUCCAUAAUUCCUUAAAGUGGCAUCACUUAAAGGUUAAAGAUUUAUCGGUACGGGAUGGGCAUGCGUGACAUUAGUUAGUUGGUAAGGUAACGGCUUACCAAGGCAUCGAUGUCUACGGGGUCUUAAAGGAUGGUCCCGCACACUGGUACUGAGACACGGACCAGACUCCUACGGGAGGCAGCAGUGAGGAAUAUUGGUCAAUGGGGGCAACCCUGAACCAGCCAUGCCGCGUGGAGGAAGACUGCCCUACGGGUUGUAAACUCCUUUUAUUCGGGAAUAAAUGUGUCCACGUGUGGAUAUUUGCAUGUACCGAACGAAUAAGCACCGGCUAACUCCGUGCCAGCAGCCGCGGUAAUACGGAGGGUGCGAGCGUUAUCCGGAUUUAUUAGGUUUAAAGGGUGCGUAGGCGGGCCUUUAAGUCAGUGGUGAAAUCCUCCCGCUCAACGGGAGAACUGCCAUUGAUACUGAAGGUCUUGAGUAUAGUUGAGGUAGGCGGAAUGUGUAAUGUAGCGGUGAAAUGCAUAGAUAUUACCCAGAACACCAAUUGCGAAGGCAGCUUACUAAACUAUUACUGACGCUGAUGCACGAAAGCGUGGGUAGCGAACAGGAUUAGAUACCCUGGUAGUCCACGCCGUAAACGAUGUUCACUGGCUGUAUGCGAUACACAGUAUGCGGCUGAGCGAAAGCAUUAAGUGAGCCACCUGGGGAGUACGUUGGCAACAAUGAAACUCAAAGGAAUUGGCGGGGGCCCGCACAAGCGGAGGAACAUGUGGUUUAAUUCGAUAAUACGCGAGGAACCUUACCUGGGCUUAAAUGUAGGUUGCAUGUAGUGGAAACAUUACUUUCCUACGGGACUACUUACAAGGUGCUGCAUGGCUGUCGUCAGCUCGUGCCGUGAGGUGUCGGGUUAAGUCCCAUAACGAGCGCAACCCCUAUUGCUAGUUACCAACGUUUAAGGCGGGGACUCUAGUGAGACUGCCACCGUAAGGUGUGAGGAAGGUGGGGAUGACGUCAAGUCAGCACGGCCCUUACGUCCAGGGCUACACACGUGUUACAAUGGCCGGUACAAAGGGCAGCUACCUGGUGACAGGAUGCUAAUCUCUAAAGCCGGUCUCAGUUCGGAUCGAAGUCUGCAACUCGACUCCAUGAAGUCGGAGUCGCUAGUAAUCCCGGAUCAGCAACGCCGGGGUGAAUACGUUCCCGGGCCUUGUACACACCGCCCGUCAAGCCAUGGGAGCCGGGGGUACC
This 1413-nucleotide ribosomal RNA is filed under the name metagenome. RNAcentral describes it as "bacterial SSU rRNA". It matches the Rfam family "Bacterial small subunit ribosomal RNA". The record is from RNAcentral.